AUUGAACGCUGGCGGCAUGCCUUACACAUGCAAGUCGAACGGCAGCACGGGAGCAAUCCUGGUGGCGAGUGGCGAACGGGUGAGUAGUACAUCGGAACGUGCCUAGUAGUGGGGGAUAGCCCGGCGAAAGCCGGAUUAAUACCGCAUACGACCUGAGGGUGAAAGCGGGGGAUCGCAAGACCUCGCGCUAUCAGAGCGGCCGAUGCCAGAUUAGGUAGUUGGUGGGGUAAAAGCCUACCAAGCCGACGAUCUGUAGCUGGUCUGAGAGGACGACCAGCCACACUGGGAGUGAGACACGGCCCAGACACCGACGGGAGGCAGCAGUGGGGAAUUUUGGACAAGGGGCGCGAGCCUGAUCCAGCCAUGCCGCGUGAAGGAAGAAGGCCUUCGGGUUGUAAACGGCUUUUGUCAGGGAAGAAAAGUUCUGGGCUAAUACCCCGGAGCGAUGACGGUACCUGAAGAAUAAGCACCGGCUAACUACGUGCCAGCCGCCGCCGUAA
Molecule: ribosomal RNA, 500 nt
Filed under: uncultured bacterium
Lineage: Bacteria
Description: partial 16S ribosomal RNA
Rfam family: Bacterial small subunit ribosomal RNA
Source: RNAcentral